GACGAACGCUGGCGGCGUGCUUAACACAUGCAAGUCGAACGGAAAGGCCCUGCUUUUGUGGGUUGCUCGAGUGGCGAACGGGUGAGUAACACGUUAGUAACCUGCCCUUUACUUUGGGAUAACUUCAGGAAACUGGGGCUAAUACCGGAUAGGAUCUCCUGCUGCAUGUUGUGGGUUGGAUAGUUUCGGCGGUUGGGGAUGGACUCGCGGCUUAUCAGCUUGUUGGUGGGGUAGUGGCUUACCAAGGCUUUGACGGGUAGCCGGCCUGAGAGGGUGACCGGCCAAAUUGGGACUGAGAGACGGACCAGACUGCUACGGGAGGCAGCAGUGGGGAAUAUUGCAAAAUGGGAGGAAGCCUGAUGCAGCAACGCCGCGUGCGGGAUGACGGCCUUCGGGUUGUAAACAGAUUUCGCCUGUGACGAAGCGUGAGUGACGGUAAUGGGUAAAGAAGCACCGGCUAACUACGUG
RNAcentral lists this ribosomal RNA (468 nucleotides) under uncultured bacterium. RNAcentral describes it as "partial 16S ribosomal RNA". It matches the Rfam family "Bacterial small subunit ribosomal RNA", at positions 28 to 507 of the family's 1533-position model. The record is from RNAcentral.